UGAACAGCUCCCUCUGUUGGUGACUGGUCCAGUCAGUUUGAUGAUGGGCUGUAGAACAGCUCCCUCUGUUGGUGGCUGGUCCAGUCAGUUUGAUGAUGGGCUGUAGAACAGCUCCCUCUGUUGGUGACUGGUCCAGUCAGUUUGAUGAUGGGCUGUAGAACAGCUCCCUCUGUUGGUGACUGGUCCAUCCUGUAUGGGAUGAUGGGUUGUUGAACAGCUCCCUCUGUUGGUGGCUGGUCCAGUCAGUUUGAUGAUGGGCUGUAGAACAGCUCCCUCUGUUGGUGACUGGUCCAGUCAGUUUGAUGAUGGGUUGUUGAACAGCUCCCUCUGUUGGUGGCUGGUCCAGUCAGUUUGAUGAUGGGUUGUUGAACAGCUCCCUCUGUUGGUGGCUGGUCCAGUCUGUAUGGGAUGAUGGGUUGUUGAACAGCUCACUGUUAGUGGCUGGUCCAGUCUGUAUGGGAUGAUGGGUUGUUGAACAGCUCCCUCUGUUGGUGGCUGGUCCAGUCUGUAAGGGAUGAUGGGUUGUUGAACAGCUCCCUCUGUUGGUGGCUGGUCCAGUCUGUAAGGGAUGAUGGGUUGUUGAACAGCUCCCUCUGUUGGUGGCUGGUCCAGUCAGUUUGAUGAUGGG
Molecule: long non-coding RNA, 628 nt
Organism: Oncorhynchus tshawytscha (Chinook salmon)
Lineage: Eukaryota; Metazoa; Chordata; Actinopteri; Salmoniformes; Salmonidae
Source: Ensembl